CCUCCCUUGACCUGCCCGACGUUAAUUUGUUAUAAGACAGUCAAACCAAUGGAGGAAAUUUAUGCUAAUGCUGAUUCUGUCUGCAACAUUUCAGUUGUAAAAGACAGAGAUAAGACAGUCAAACCAAUGGAGGAAAUUUAUGCUAAUGUUGAUUCUGUCCGCAACAUUUCAAUUGUAAAAGACA
Molecule: non-coding RNA, 184 nt
Organism: Poecilia reticulata (guppy)
Lineage: Eukaryota; Metazoa; Chordata; Actinopteri; Cyprinodontiformes; Poeciliidae
Source: RefSeq, a predicted model, not a curated record